UUUCCGUAGGUGAACCUGCGGAAGGAUCAUUCAUAAUAAAGUGUUUUAUGGCAUUUUUUAAAAAUCCAUAUCCACCUUGUGUGCAAUGUUAGAUCUCGUCAAUCUUGGCGAGAUUUUUAUACAUCAACUCAUUCUUUAACUAAUUUGUCUGAAAAAUAUUAUGAAUACUUAAUUCAAAAUACAACUUUCAACAACGGAUCUCUUGGCUCUCACAUCGAUGAAGAACGCAGC
This 231-nucleotide unclassified non-coding RNA is filed under the name plant metagenome. RNAcentral's name for it is "partial contains small subunit ribosomal RNA, internal transcribed spacer 1, and 5.8S ribosomal RNA". The stretch from base 183 to 231 matches the Rfam family "5.8S ribosomal RNA", at positions 1 to 49 of the family's 154-position model. The record is from RNAcentral.